RNAcentral lists this long non-coding RNA (493 nucleotides) under Diabrotica virgifera virgifera (western corn rootworm). RNAcentral's name for it is "uncharacterized LOC114332410". The record is from RNAcentral. Lineage: Eukaryota; Metazoa; Arthropoda; Insecta; Coleoptera; Chrysomelidae.
GCGUGUGGCGAUACCGCUUCCGGCGGACGGGCAUGUCAUAUCGCCCAGAGCAGCUGCUCGUCACUUCAAUGUUCGAUCUUGUUGAAUCAACAAGUUAAUUCUCCCGUGGCCAUUGUUUAAAGAAUACAAUUUUUGGUUAAAAUGUUUAUUUAUAGAAGAUUAGUUUACGUUGGAAGGAGUUAUUAUUUUAUUUUGGAUUUGUGGAGUUAGAAAAAGAGUUUUGUUUCCAGUUCCUUUUUUUUUGGAAAGCAAUGGCCACGGAAGAAAGAAGAUAAUAUAGGAAAUUAAGUCAAUCUAUACUUUAGUUUACCUUUAUGGAAUAAAGCAUCAUUUUGCACCUCCCCAGGUUUGGGGGAAACCGGAGGAUAUCUUAUUUGGCGCUCCCCUCAUCAGAUUCACAGGCUUUGGAGAAGCAACACGCCUACUUUUGUAGCGACAGGUUUUUAGAAUUAAAUUUGACUGUUAUUUUUUCUAAUAAAAUUUUUCAAUUUUA